RNA transcript from Odontomachus brunneus, 3464 nucleotides. It is a transcript of the gene named WD repeat-containing protein 6, with no coding region annotated. The transcript is spliced from 14 exons. NCBI's taxonomy places the organism in Eukaryota, Metazoa, Arthropoda, Insecta, Hymenoptera, Formicidae. The record is from RefSeq and is a predicted model, not a curated record.
CUUCCUGCGGCGCACGUGACGUGUGUAUCAUACGCGAGAGAAUCGGCGCCGAAGUGACUCGCGACAGAUGCGGUGAUGAUGUGAUUGCUCGUGCAUAUUUUCAUGCGUUUAUGUAUGAAAUAAAAUAAUACGGACUAAAGAGAAGAUGAUUUCGAAAUUAUUACGCACGAAUGUCCUCGCUGUUCGAUGCGUAGAUGAUCUCGUGCUUAUAGGCAUGGGAUCCAUGCUCUACGUGUUCGAUACGAAUUCUUAUCAACUAAAAAGUAAAUUAAAUUGUUUGUAUCCAAGUAAUAUACAUGGGAUUGUUGUGGGACCAAAUAAUAUACUAGCUGUAUUUGGUGCUAAAUCCAUAUAUAUUUGCGACAUUAUUAAGCAAGAAGAAGUAAUAACAUUUAAAAAAAGAAAUAACAAUGAGUUCAACGAUUGGAUAAUUGCAUUGCAAUGGAUAUCGGUUAAAAAACAAUUGCAAUUGGCAAUUUUGUUUGCCCAUAAUUGUGUAUCUAUAUAUGACAUAUCUGAAGGUUCUUUUCAAAUUGUAUGCUGUGAAGAAAAAUGUAUACUUUAUGGUGGCUUUAUAUCAGGAACAUUGCAAGAGGACUUGGUAAUUUUUAGUGGAACAGUAUUUCAAGAAAUUUUAAUAUGGAAAAUAGAUAAUAAUCAUGACAGUAACAAAAGUAUGCCAAUUUUGCAUCGCUUGACAGGACACAAAGGUGUGAUUUUCUCUGUUGUUUUUGAUCCAUACUCUCAUCUCAUAUGUUCCACAUCUGAUGAUAGAACUGUCAGAUUGUGGAAAGUAAUUGGAAGUGAAAACUCUGAGAGCAGUAAUAUAAAUUGGCAGACAACAGCAGUAAUGUUGGUAAAAACAAUGUAUGCGCAUACAGCAAGAGUUUGGAGAGCUAUAAUCAAGAAUGACAUUGUUAUAACAAUAGGCGAGGAUUCACUCAUGUGCACAUGGUCACUUUCAGGUAAUUUACUUAAUAAAACUUAUGCCCACCAUGGAGCACCGAUAUGGAGUAUUGACACGUCUGCAGACAAUAAAAAUAUAUUCACGGGUGGAGCUGAUGGAGCUGUGUGUGUAUGGCCAUCCACAUGCUACAACAGCCCAAAAACAAUUUCUCUAACCAGCAACAAUACGCACAAUAUUCCUAAAUACAUAUCAUACUUGAGCAGUGGUACAAUUUUGAUCUUUAACGAAAAGGGAACACUAUUCUGUUAUAACAAAAAUGAAGCCACGCCAAAAGACUCUUUAUAUUUGGAAAAAUAUUGCAGUUAUUGUAUUAUGCAGGUUUCUCCAUGUCGUUCUUUCGUUGCCUUUGCAUCUAGAGAUGGAUAUGUGACGUUGUACAAAGACAUUAUUAAUACAAAUACCAAGCAUCUGCAUCAGAUUCUCGAAGAGAGAAUAAUGGAAUCACAAAUCUUUUCUUUGCAGUGGUUGAGAGAUGACGCACUAAUAGUGUGUGGUGCGAAUGGUCUUCUAAGAAUAUUUCAUUUUACAAUUAAUGGUACAACUCACGUAGAAACACAGUGCAUGUUACCUUCUAGUCGAGAACGUUGGCUGACCGCAGCUACAAUAUACGAAAAGUUGUUGGUUUGUGGAGAUAGAACUGGAAACGUAUAUGUAUUCGAAUUAUCGAACGAGAGCGAGGACAUCAAGACACCUAGUCAAACGCUCGUUAAAGUCCACGGUAAAAUAGGAGUUCAGUCCUUCGACGUGUUGGAAGACAAGCUGAUGACGACUGGACGCGAUGGAAUGUUGAGAUUUUAUGAAUUAAACAAAGAGAACAGAAACUCCUUACUGACGCUGCAUAAGAAAAAAAUGCCAAUGGACUGGAUCAGUGGCACAUUAAAAGUGGACGGGAUUUUACUUGUCUUUGGUUUCAAAGAGGCAGAAUUUAUAAUUUAUAACUUACAACAGCAAAGAUUGUUGUUCAGAAUUCCUUGUGGCGGUGGUCAUAGAUCGUGGGACUGUACAAUAUUAAAUAGAACAGCCAGUUUUGCUUACAUACGAAAUAAGCAGGUCUACAUAUUCGAUUAUCCUCUAGGAUCAUUAAAACUGCCGAUUUUACAAGAUGGUUUUCACGUAAAGGAAACUUGUUGCCUUCAACGAAUUUCGUGUUUAGAUGCGCGGGAUAUUUUCGUGUCCGGCGGUGAAGACUGUACUCUUCGCGUUAGCUGCAUCUCCCAAGUAUCUCAAAGUGACACCUGUGCCUUUCACAAUUUGGGAGUCUUCGACGGUCAUCUUUCAGGUAUAAAAUGCUUAAGUGCUGUCAAGUUGAACAUUGAAGUCGACGAGCUAAGCAGCAGACAUUUAGUGUUCUCCGGUGGAGGGAGAGCACAACUGAAGGUUUGGCAGAUGAAUCUUAAGUAUAAUGAGAGGGUAUCGCCGAGUAUAGAUCUGUCGUGUCUUGAUGUGAAGUCCCAUAUGCUCCAUGGACAAGAUCAAUAUCGUAAGAAACCUUGGCAAGAGACUGAGCAAUCUUACAUCAUAGAACCAGAAACGCGUUACAUGGAUAUUCACGCGUAUUAUCCAUCCAAGAGCUUGAAUCACGUAUUAAUAUUUGUGGCGUGUGCAGAUGGAUACCUGAGAAUAUUUGUAUAUGAUAUUAAAACUAGCGAUACGUACUUGAAAGUAUCUACCAAAUACGUAGAUCGAUGUAUCUUGAAGAUGCACGUUUUGUCACACAAAUGCAAAAUGAUCGUCCUAACAAUGACUACUGACGGAAUACUACGUUUCUUCGAUCUCACUGGCGUAGUUUCGAAGAUAUACAAGGACGCAAAUUUGAAGAAUCAGAAUAUUAUAAAAUUUAAUGACGCCCCUUUCGCGGAAUUCAACUUGCAUCAGUCUGGAAUUAAUUCUUACGAUUUAAAACUCGCGGACGAGAACAAGUAUCUUUUGAUCACCGGUGGUGACGAUAACCUUUUCAAUCUCCUUUGCUUUCGAAUUUUGGAAACCGAUGAGAUAUUGUCAGUUGUAAUAUUAUCUAAAUGGAGCACAGCGUCCGCACACUGCGCACAAAUUGCAGGUCUGAAAUUUAAAGAUGAUGAUCAAAUAUGUAGCGUGGGGAUAGACCAACAAGUUAUCAUCUACAGUUACUCAUGGUCCAGUGGUGCUUUAUCUGCAAGAAUUCUCUCUAAUGUAUUCACAUCCAUCACAGAUGUACAAGGCAUGGACUUGUGGCCUUCUGACAACAAUGGCAAUAUCGUGUGUAUAUAUGGAAGAGGUUUCGAAAUACUGCCAGUUUGAAACGUAUAUCUUGCAAAAAACAUUACUAGACUACUGUUUUACUACUACUUUACUAAUGAGAUACUAAUGAGAAGAUGUUAGCCUGUUCAAAAUGGCGAUGCAACACACCGAAAACCACUGAUGUUUGACAGCACGGUGCUUCAAGCGAUGUUGUAAAGUUUUUUUGAUAACUUAUUCGUAAAAAUAGCUCGACUUACAGAGCAAUUAUCGAAAAAUGUCG